RNAcentral lists this ribosomal RNA (440 nucleotides) under uncultured bacterium. Its description in RNAcentral is "partial 16S ribosomal RNA". It matches the Rfam family "Bacterial small subunit ribosomal RNA", at positions 338 to 795 of the family's 1533-position model. The record is from RNAcentral.
CCUACGGGAGGCAGCAGUGGGGAAUAUUGCACAAUGGGGGAAACCCUGAUGCAGCGACGCCGCGUGAGCGAUGACGUAUUUCGGUAUGUAAAGCUCUAUCAGCAGGGAAGAAACUGACGGUACCUGACUACGAAGCCCCGGCUAACUACGUGACAGCAGCCGCGGUAAUACGUAGGGGGCACGCGUUAUCCGGAUUUACUGGGUGUAAAGGGAGCGUAGACGGCUUGGCAAGCCAGAUGUGAAAGGGUGGGGUGCCACCCCAGGACUGCAUUUGGAACUGUCAUGCUAGAGUGUCGGAGAGGCAGGCGGAAUUCCUAGUGUAGCGGUGGAAUGCGUAGAUAUUAGGAGGAACACCAGUGGCGAAGGCGGCCUGCUGGACGAUGACUGACGUUGAGGCUCGAAAGCGUGGGGAGCAAACAGGAUUAGAUACCCGUGUAGUC